CGGGGCGUAGCUCAGCCAGGUUAGAGUGCUCGGUUCGGGACCGAGAGGUCGGAGGUUCAAAUCCUCUCGCCCCGA
RNAcentral lists this transfer RNA (75 nucleotides) under Candidatus Dormiibacterota bacterium. RNAcentral's name for it is "tRNA-Pro". It matches the Rfam family "tRNA". From Rfam's summary of the family: Transfer RNA (tRNA) molecules are approximately 80 nucleotides in length. RNAcentral also lists the same sequence under 1 other name. The record is from RNAcentral. Lineage: Bacteria; Bacillati; Candidatus Dormiibacterota.